This 446-nucleotide ribosomal RNA is filed under the name uncultured bacterium. Its description in RNAcentral is "partial 16S ribosomal RNA". It matches the Rfam family "Bacterial small subunit ribosomal RNA", at positions 330 to 793 of the family's 1533-position model. The record is from RNAcentral.
CCCAGACUCCUACGGGAGGCAGCAGUAAGGGAUAUUGGUCAAUGGGGGAAACCCUGAACCAGCAACGCCGCGUGAGGGAAGACGGUUUUCGGAUUGUAAACCUCUGUCCUCUGUGAAGAUGAUGACGGUAGCAGAGGAGGAAGCUCCGGCUAACUACGUGCCAGCAGCCGCGGUAAUACGUAGGUGGCAAGCGUUAUCCGGAUUUAUUGGGUGUAAAGGGCGUGUAGGCGGGAAAGCAAGUCAGAUGUGAAAACUAUGGGCUCAACCCAUAGCCUGCAUUUGAAACUGUUUUUCUUGAGUGCUGGAGAGGCAAUCGGAAUUCCGUGUGUAGCGGUGAAAUGCGUAGAUAUACGGAGGAACACCAGUGGCGAAGGCGGAUUGCUGGACAGUAACUGACGCUGAGGCGCGAAAGCGUGGGGAGCAAACAGGAUUAGAUACCCGUGUAG